AGUGAACGCUGGCGGUAGGCCUAACACAUGCAAGUCGAACGGCAGCACAGUAAGAGCUUGCUCUUACGGGUGGCGAGUGGCGGACGGGUGAGGAAUACAUCGGAAUCUACUUUUUCUUGGGGGAUAACGUAGGGAAACUUACGCUAAUACCGCAUACGACCUACGGGUGAAAGCAGGGGAUCUUCGGACCUUGCGCGAUUGAAUGAGCCGAUGUCGGAUUAGCUAGUUGGCGGGGUAAAGGCCCACCAAAGCGACGAUCCGUAGCUGGUCUGAGAGGAUGAUCAGCCACACUGGAACUGAGACACGGUCCAGACUCCUACGGGAGGCAGCAGUGGGGAAUAUUGGACAAUGGGCGCAAGCCUGAUCCAGCCAUACCGCGUGGGUGAAGAAGGCCUUCGGGUUGUAAAGCCCUUUUGUUGGGAAAGAAAAGCAGCAGGUUAAUACCCCGCUGUUCGGACGGUACCCAAAGAAUAAGCACCGGCUAACUUCGUG
This 492-nucleotide ribosomal RNA is filed under the name uncultured bacterium. RNAcentral's name for it is "partial 16S ribosomal RNA". It matches the Rfam family "Bacterial small subunit ribosomal RNA", at positions 29 to 507 of the family's 1533-position model. The record is from RNAcentral.